Phyllostomus hastatus (greater spear-nosed bat) is the source of this 2757-nucleotide long non-coding RNA. RefSeq lists it as uncharacterized. NCBI's taxonomy places the organism in Eukaryota, Metazoa, Chordata, Mammalia, Chiroptera, Phyllostomidae. The record is from RefSeq and is a predicted model, not a curated record. The transcript has 3 exons.
AGAAUGCCAGUGUCUGGGGAAGCCAGCAGACUCCAGGUAUGUCCUUUCCUUGGGGAGGGGAACUUUUGUCCUGAUGGAUAGUGAAACUGGUUUGCACUUCGUAACUUCAAAAGAAUCCUUCUGCCAAGCAGCCUGUCAGAGCCUGAUGAAUGGAACUCCAUCGCGCUCCUCACCUACCCAACUUUGCCUCCACAUCCUCCGCCCCGCUCCCUCCAGCAGGCCGGGAAGCUGUUCCCGAUGUGGGGGUGCUGUGGACCAUCUGCAAAUCGAGAACUCCAGCAGCCCCCGUCUCACGUGGCUCCACUGGACAGGUCUGUGGAACCUCCACAUCACACCGUCCUUAAGAACCCCUCCAGCUCCCACGUUCUGAGAUUCACUGAGGAGCUCAGGCCGACGGAGGUGCUGGGUGCUCCUGGUCUCAGGCAGCAGGUCGGGACGCUGAGGGGCAGCUCCCCACUGGGGCCCCCGACGAGGCCACACUGAGCCCCAGGCUCGGAAGACCCCAGGGCCCGCCCUGCUGUGCGGGUACCAUCCUUUGCCUCCGUCAGCAGCCCCGCACGGCCUGCCCGGAGCUGCCUUCCUGAGUGGAGUGGUGAAAGCCGGGCUGAGUGCCAGCCCUUAGGGAUAGCUUCCCAGCUUCCCGCAGCCAGGAGGGGGCAGGGCGGGGACACGGUGAUGAUGUGGGAUGGGGAAGAGGAUGACAGCUUCCCGUCCAUCAGAGCAUCAGAGGCUGACAGGCUGCUGACAGGGAAGGGAGGGGUGCAGAGCUGGCCUUGCCGGGCGGAGCUGGGGGAGAGGGCUGGCAUUUCCCGGGCACUGGCUGCUGGGCCUCUCCUGGAAACAGGCCCCCCCCAGCAGGGCUGGGGGGGCGGCUGGAUGCCACCUCCCACAUUCCACAGCCUGUGGGUGCUGACUCCCAAAGGCAGGGAGUUGGCUGAGGGAGGGAAGAAGUCACAGCAAAACACGAAAGGAAGACCUUUGCAAUAAGGGUGCUGUUUGUCUCUGGAGAGCUCCCCGCUCCCCUAAAAAUGCAGGAAGCAUGUAAGUCAGAGGCCAAGAAGAACAUCCUGACUCGGCCAGUUGCCAGCCUGGGAAUUGUAUUAUCAGAGAGGGGCGUGCAAACCUGUGCAGAGGUUGCUAUUUCUGAUUUUAGAGUCAUCUGUAUGAAUUCUCAUUUACUCUUUCACUCAUUCAACCUUAUGUACCUUACUGUGUGCCUGGCUGAGACCUGGGACAAUGAAGAUAAAUAAGACUCGGCCCCUGCCCUGAAGGAGCGUGUGAAUGAGACAAGACAUGGGCCCAACGACUGUCACACGCCAGAGCUGGUGCUGCCAUCACAGAGGGAUCGACAACGGGCAGCAGGGAUAAGAGGAGGGAGAGGGGAGAGGACACUUGGGACCCAGGGGAUCCCAGAAGGCUUCCUGUAGGAGGAGGCAUCUGAACCGGGCCUUAUGGUAUCUCAAGCUCCCCGGGAGGAGAGAGGAUGGCGUGGACAGAGACUCGGAGGUGGGAGAGUGAAGGUCCAGGCAGAAGUGAAGACCACCAUGUGGCUGGGUUCCCUGGUUUGGGCAGGGGUGCUGAGACAGUUGUGGUGGCCAGGGAGGGCUGGGCCACCUGACCCGCACCUGGCCGGUCAGUGCAGUCCACUCCCCUGCCUACGUGGUUGGUUCCAGAACGGCACGAGCUCCAGGACGGCCCAGUGAAAAUCGGCCUCGGGACCUCUGCUGCAGUCACCCCUGCAGCUGCUGUCAUUUAUAACCAAGUUGGUUCAGGCUCUGCUCCCAGAAGGUUAUAUAUUUCUCGCAGUGCUGGGGGCUGGAAUUCCUAGGUCAGGGCGCCAACAAGGUGGUGUGGUCUGGCGUGAGCCCUGGUGCUGGGUUGCAGAGGGCUGUCCACUUGCUGUGGCCUCACGUGGUGGAGAGCAGAGACGUUCUGGCCCCUGCGUCCCCUUAUAAGGGCGCCCAUCCCACGCUGGGGGCUCCACCUCUGUGACCUCACCCAAACCCAGUGACCUCCCAAAGGCCCCACCCCUCAAGUGCCCCAUGUGAGAUUAGGGCUGCAACAUUUGUGUUUGGGGGGACACACCCAUCCCAUCCACAGCAGAGUUACUCUGUGCUCCUCCGAUAGGGGAGAUGCAGAGACGGGGACACCAGGACCAGGGACAGCUGGGUCGAGGCCCCGCUCUGCCCCGCACUCACCGUGCAGCCUGGGACACGUGGCUGCCUUCCCGUCGGGGGCCUCAGUUUCCGUGCUUGUGGAAGAAGGAACUCAGAUGAACAUUGAGGCCCCGCCAGCGCGUCCACCCUGAAUUGACCCAUCUCUCAUGCGCACCUCUGCAUCCUGGUGUCACCGUCUCGUGUGGGCGUGGACGGGGCGUGGUGGGGGGAGCUCUGCUGAAUAUCCCAGCACGAGAGCAUGGGAAACCGUAACAAUCAUUGCGUGCGAUUUCUGGGCCCACCUGGCUGUGCCUCUGCGUCCCUCCCUGCACAAGACUGGGGGAGAUUUUUGAUGGGCUUUGCAUCUUGCAAGGAGGCAGAACCCCGCCUGGCUCUCCCUCUCCGUUUGCAGUGGAGACUCGGAGGUGGCCCAGCUGGAGCCCGGGACGUGGAGGCUUGCAGCCUCUGCCUCCCCCAGCAUCUCCUCCAUCUCUGUUCCCCACCAGGCUGGGAAGUUCAUUAUUUCCCCGACCUACUCUUCUGGUGAGACUGAAAUUAAUUUCCCAUCUCCUCCCCUCCCAAGCCUUGCAAUCAUUAAAUG